AACCGAGCUAGGGCUCCGCUCUGCAUAACAAUAUCAACCACUUUUGUAAUUUAAGUAACGUUAUAAAUACAAGUGGGCCUCGUUUACACUCACAACAGUGAAGUGAACGGCGCCCAUAACUCGUCAGCGAAGGAACGCGGGAAAACCUAUUUUGACAGUUGAUUCGAGAGAAAUUUUGCGCGCGUUUUUGACAAGCCACCAUGUUUGUUUUGAAGACUCUAGUGUUCUGCUCGGCGUGGCUGCUGAUACAAGGCCAAGGAUCAAACGUUCCCGCCACCACUCCGGUCCCGAUCCUAAAGCAAAUCAACAGACAAAACGAUGACGGAUCGUACAGUUACGGCUAUGAAGCAGCCGACGGUUCAUUCAAGAUUGAAACGAAGUACCCUAAUGGGGAUGUCGCGGGGAAGUAUGGGUAUAUCGACGAGAGUGGGAAACAAAGGGAGAUCUCGUACGGAGCCAGCAGCGCUAGAGGAUUCGAACCCCAAGGAGCCGGUAUCAUGGUCCCACCACCGACGCUGCACGACCCGUCUUCCAACGCUUUGACUGAUGGACAAGAAGACGACGGUCAGUACCGCGAGGACCCAAAGAUCUACGAAGACCCGAAAUACAACGGCAGACAGAGCGCGAAACCUGCUCAAGGAUUCAGACAGUUCCAGCAACCAGCCCAGCCGGCUCAACCUGAACCGCAAUACCAACGGCAACAGUACCAGAGCUUCCAAUCGAGCUUCCCAGCACAGCCCCAAUACCAACCGCAGCCUCAGUACCAGCAACCCCAAAGUCAAUACCAACAAGCGCAAUAUCAACCCCAACCUCAAUCCCAAAGUCAAUACAGGUCGCCGCUAUUCUCGCAGCAAAGCAACCUCUUCAAUCAGGCACCUCAACAGUUCCCUCAAAGCCAAGUUUAUCACCAACAACCUCAGUUUUCGUAUCAAGCGUUCACGCCACAGCCAUCCAGCCAAUUCCAGUCCCAGAACUACCAGGCCCAGUCCAAUCCAUUCAACGGCCACCCAGCCCAGAACUUUGAUCCCAGCACCGGCUCUUACUCUAUUAACUUCACCGGCUAAGUUGAAAUGUUGUGAGAAGACAAGUGAGAAAAUAUAAGACGCAUAACAUAGUCAUUCAUAAUUUCAAUAUUCAAAUUUGUCGUCUAAUUAAAUUGUAAACUUUGUGUUUGUUUGUUCGUAAGUUCGCCACAGUGGGUGGGUGGAUAUCGAAUGUGGUAUAUUAUUUUUAACCAGUUUAUUAUUAUGAGAUAUGCUGUAACCGACAUGGUUAUUUUGUGUUUUGCAUUAUUUUUUUGCAUUUUCUUGAUCAAAAGAGACAAAACACAUUGUAACCGCGUGGUGGCUAGGUCGUAAAUAUUAAAAACAAGAAUGUUCAUUUCGCUCAAAUCGUUUUGAUAAAUAAAGAAAUAUUUCAGUUGAUUUUCGCGGGUAAAAUAAAAAUUUCGGGUUCAAUGUAGCAUUUAUCUUUAAAAAAAAUAACAAUUUCCGAAGUUUCCAAUAUUUUACAAAUUUCAUGGUUACUAAGGUAUCACUUGUUAAAAUUAGUUACCAAAUUUUAAUAUUUAUGCCAACCACCGUAAAAAAUAUUAAGGCUUUUUUUUAAGCAAAGGUAUUAUGAACGUAAAAUGAAAAGAACAAUCGCUAUCAUAAACAGCCAAAGCAGAUUAAAUUGUUAAAAUAUCGUGACAAAUUCACAAAUUCAUUUAAACACGGGCUAAUACAAAUUGAAUUGGCAAACCUAAGACCUAAAUAAUUGUAGUUAUUGAAGACUAUAAUUGAGUCAAUAUUGAAGCUUAAAGAUUUGUUAGUGUAUAUAAAUAACGUUAAUGAUUGUAGUUGAGCUCAUUUUUAUAUAAUCUGUAUUUUAUUUUUCACUUUUUCGAACUAGUCAGGAAGUAUAUAAAAUAUGUAAACUAACAAAUUUAUUUAAAAUAUUAAACAAUCUUCGGAUCAAUCUUAUGAAUUGAUAAAUAAAAAUAUGUUUAUUUUCUGCUUUUCACAAAACCUUCAAGAAUCAUUUUGAAAUAGCUGGAAACUUUUUAACAUUAGGUAUCUGAAUUUCAAUAAUUUAAUUUUGACAUAUUUAUUCUUAAUAAAACACAUUAGACACACACAUAUACACAGAUUCUUUCAGGUUAUGUUGCAUCUGUAUUUUGUAUUUAUAAUUGAUUAAUAAUUAUUUAAAAUUAACGAUUUAUUCAAUAUAUUAUAAAUUUCAAUAAAAAAUUUACAUCAUGGUUUGUAACACUAAUUGUAUCAAUUUAUAAUUUUGCAUAUUACGGAACUGAGUCUUAAAAAUAAAUAAGGCUAUGUGCUUACGUCAAUAAAUUUUACAUUACAAUUGUGUAACAAACAAACAGUAUUAUGAAUGCAACGAAACACGGAACGUGCGGAUUGCAAAAUGGCCGCGGCAACGGACACGUGCCUUGUGUGUAAAUUGACAAAUAAAUAAAAUGUUAUGUAGUUG
This is an RNA transcript of Bombyx mori (domestic silkworm), 2472 nucleotides long. It is a transcript of the gene named cuticular protein RR-1 motif 55, with no coding region annotated. The transcript has 4 exons. NCBI's taxonomy places the organism in Eukaryota, Metazoa, Arthropoda, Insecta, Lepidoptera, Bombycidae. The record is from RefSeq and is marked provisional.